AUUUGGGUUUGAAUAUGCACACCUAUAAGUUACAUUUUUCUUUUACCAAAUCUCCCUUACGUGCAAUAGUUCUUUUUUUUCUCAUCUCUUCUCAUAUAUGCUCUUUAUCUUCUUCUUUUCUUCUUUUUCCUCGAACUCUUAUCUUCGGGUUUUUCUUCUUUUCUUUUUGAAGUUGUUUAGGAGGAGGCAUGUAAUAAUGUUGUUGUGGCUGUGGGGCUAUUUUGUGAGGCAAAGCAAGUGCAAUCAGUUAGUUGUGGGCAUCUGAGGUGUUCUCAUUCUUCUUAGACUCUUGAACAGGGAGUGGCGGCGACAUGUUCCUUGCCAUGCUGAGUCAACUCUGAUCUCAUGUCUCCAAUUGGUUAAUUUUAGAAAUUGCCAAUUUGGUUUUAUGGAAUUCCUGCAAGAAAAAAAUAAAAUAAUGAACAAGGACUCGCUCAGUAUCAUUGAUCAAAUGGAUGAAAUUUUCUUCCAAUUGAAAAGAGGGGCAAUCACACAGGACCAAGCUCUAGUUCCAAGUGGUAUUAGUUUCAUAGCCAAACUAUUUCAUCAGAACAUAGCUCCUCAUAAGUCACAACUUAAUUAACAGAAAUACAACAACAGGGAAUGUCCAUACGUUUCAAUUAAUCUAAUCAGCAUAUCAUAUUACUUCAGAUUAAAAAACCAAACAAAUUAAACAAGGGAACCUUCAACAAUUUUUAUGGGUGAAAGUCAAUUAUCCCCAAGAUCUGAAAGCUGUAAAUGGAAGGAGAAGCCG
RNAcentral lists this long non-coding RNA (754 nucleotides) under Arabidopsis lyrata. RNAcentral's name for it is "long non-coding RNA (ALYR_LNC002522)". The record is from RNAcentral. Lineage: Eukaryota; Viridiplantae; Streptophyta; Magnoliopsida; Brassicales; Brassicaceae.